This is an RNA transcript of Candoia aspera, 2115 nucleotides long. It is a transcript of the gene named suppression of tumorigenicity 7 like, with no coding region annotated. The record is from RefSeq and is a predicted model, not a curated record. Lineage: Eukaryota; Metazoa; Chordata; Lepidosauria; Squamata; Candoiidae. The transcript has 16 exons.
CUCAGCCAGCCAGGCCUCAGCAAGCCAAGGGCGGGAGUCAUGGCGGAGAGUGUUGCUGUGAAUGAGGAUGCCGCAGCGUCUUCCUCCCAGUCCGCUGGCCUUGGGCCCUGUCCUCGGCGAUGGGAGCGACUGAGGCUGGCGGCCGGGCCUUGGGCGCGGUCGUUUGGCUUCCUGGGGGCGCUCAGUCUCGUUUACUUCUUGCGGGGCCCGCUCCGGCUGCGGGACAACUUAGUGGCAGUGACUGUUUUCUUGAGCACACUGACUCCAAAAUUCUAUGUUGCACUUACGGGGACUUCAUCUUUGAUAUCUGGUCUGAUAUUUAUAUUUGAAUGGUGGUACUUCAGAAAAUACGGCACAUCUUUUAUUGAACAGGUUUCCGUGAGUCAUUUGCGACCACUUAUUGGAGGGGCGGCGAAUGCUAGUUCUGCACAGGCAAAUUUCUCUGCUGCUAGUGGAGAAAAUGAAAUGAACAGACAAAAUAUGUCAGAGUGCAAAGUAUGGAGAAAUCCACUCAAUCUCUUUAGAGGAGCAGAAUAUAACAGAUACACAUGGGUGACAGGAAAGGAGCCACUAACAUAUUACGAUAUGAAUUUAUCUGCUCAGGAUCAUCAGAGUUUUUUCACCUGUGAAACAGACUCUCUUAGACCUUCAGAUGCAGUUAUGCAGAAGGCAUGGCGGGAAAGGAACCCUCAGGCCCGAAUCAAAGCAGCAUAUCAAGCUUUAGAAUUAAAUAAUGACUGUGCCACAGCAUACAUUCUUCUGGCUGAGGAAGAAGCAACUACUAUUUUAGAAGCUGAAAAAUAUUUUAAACAGGCUCUGAGAGCAGGAGAAACAGUUUAUAAAAAGUCUCAGCAUAGCAGUUCACAAAAUCCACACCAUGAGGCACAGAUAAGAAGAGAUACCAAUGUAUUGGUUUAUGUGAAAAGAAGACUAGCUAUGUGUGCAAGGAAGCUUGGAAGAAUUAAAGAAGCAGCAAAAAUGAUGAGGGAUUUAAUGAAAGAAUUUCCUAUCCUAAGUGUACUGAAUAUCCAUGAAAACCUCCUAGAAACACUUCUGGAGCUACAGGCUUAUGCUGAUGUCCAGGCAGUUCUAGCAAAGUAUGAUGAUAUCAGCCUUCCAAAAUCAGCAGCAAUAUGUUAUACAGCAGCACUUUUAAAAGCUAGAGCAGUUUCAGAUAGGUUUUCUCCAGAAACAGCUUCUAGAAGGGGACUUAGCACAGCAGAAAUUAAUGCUGUAGAAGCAAUACAUAGAGCAGUUGAAUUUAACCCUCACGUUCCAAAGUACUUGCUAGAAAUGAAAAGCUUAAUUUUGCCUCCGGAGCACGUUCUGAAGCGUGGGGACAGUGAAGCAGUGGCUUAUGCAUUCUUCCAUCUUCAGCACUGGAAGCGAGUAGAAGGAGCCCUUAACUUGCUGCACUGCACAUGGGAAGGCACAUUUAGAAUGAUUCCAUAUCCAUUAGAAAAGGGACAUCUAUUUUAUCCCUAUCCCAGCUGCACAGAGACAGCAGACAGAGAGUUAUUACCAACAUUUCAUGAUGUAUCUGUGUAUCCCCAGAAAGACCUUCCUUUUUUCAUCCAUUUUACAGCAGGGCUGUGUUCUUUCACAGCAAUGUUAGCGCUACUCACACAUCAGUUUCCUGAACUCAUGGUCAUUUUUGCUAAAGCUAUGGUACCUCCUAAGAGCUGAAGUAACAGGGGUAGCUUUAUUAUGAAGCAAUGUAAAACAGUUAUUGAUGACUGUUUCCAAGUUUUUUGGAACGCUUUUGUCACCUUUGAGCUUCUUGAUGGAGAAGAUUGAACGCCUCAUGCCUUCUGGUCUCUGGCAUCAGCUGACACAAAUCUGAACAGAGCUCAGUUCUCAGGAACUUUAGCAUCAGCACCUCUUGAUUACAAAAGCAUUGGCAACUAGGAGUGUGAAGGAAGACUUACUUAGCUUUGUUUUACAGCCUCUUAAAAAUUUGCUGUACUCCUUCUUAAGCCUAAAAUGUUGUAGAGUUAAAACACACAAUUCAAUGUCUGUGUGGGUGGGAAGAGGAUUGUUGUAUUUAAGGCUACUGCUUUCUCUCUCAGAAAUUCCAGAAAGCAAUAAAUCUGAUAGAUCCUAUGUUGAAAUUUC